Molecule: ribosomal RNA, 1707 nt
Filed under: human gut metagenome
Description: bacterial LSU rRNA
Rfam family: Bacterial large subunit ribosomal RNA
Source: RNAcentral
GGUUGGCUCAGAAGCAGCCAUCCUUUAAAGAGUGCGUAACAGCUCACUAGUCGAGUGACCCUGCGCCGAAAAUGUACCGGGGCUAAGCCUGAUACCGAAACUGCGGAUUGUAGGAAACUAUAGUGGUAGGGGAGCGUUGUAUACGAGCAGAAGCCGUACCGUGAGGAGCGGUGGAUUGUAUAGAAGUGAGAAUGCCGGUGUGAGUAGCGAGAUGUAGGUGAGAAUCCUACACACCGAAAGCCCAAGGAUUCCAGGGGAAGGUUCGUCCGCCCUGGGUAAGUCGGGACCUAACGCGAGGCCGAAAGGCGUAGUGGAUGGAAAGCAGGCGAAAGAUUCCUGCACCCGUAUAUGGAGCGAAGGAGUGACGGAGACGGAUAGUGUGACCCUCUUAAUGGAUUGAGGGCGAAGCGAAGCGGCUGGUUACCAGGCAAAUCCGGUAACCUUAAGGCUAGAGCGUGACAGGUAAGCGAAAUCUUAGGAAAGUAGCGAAGCACAUGAUGACGGCUUCCAGGAAAAGCUUCUGGCAAUGCAUAUGCGGCCCGUACCAAAACCGACACAGGUGGGCAGGGAGAGAAUCCCGAGGUGAGCGAGAGAACUGUUGCCAAGGAACUCGGCAAAAUGACUCCGUAAGUUAGCGAGAAGGAGUGCUUAAGCAAUUAAGCCGCAGUGAAGAGGCCCAAGCGACUGUUUAACUAAAACACAGCUCUCUGCGAAGUCGCAAGACGAAGUAUAGGGGGUGACACCUGCCCGGUGCUGGAAGGUUAAGAGGAUCUGUUAAGAGCGAUCUGAAGCAGUGAUCCGAAGCCCCAGUGAACGGCGGCCGUAACUAUAACGGUCCUAAGGUAGCGAAAUUCCUUGUCAGGUAAGUUCUGACCCGCACGAAAGGUGUAACGAUUUGGGCGCUGUCUCGGCAGCAGACUCGGUGAAAUCUUAGUACCUGUGAAAAUGCAGGUUACCCGCAACUAGACGGAAAGACCCCAUGGAGCUUUACUGCAGCCUGAUAUUGAAUUCUGGUCAUACAUGUACAGGAUAGGUGGGAGACAAAGAGACGUGCACGCCAGUGUACGAGGAGUCGACGUUGGGAUACCACUCUUGUGUGACCGGGGUUCUAACCUGGUAUCGAGAACAGGUACGGGGAGAGUGUCAGGUGGGCAGUUUGACUGGGGCGGUCGCCUCCCAAAGAGUAACGGAGGCGCCCAAAGGUACGCUCAGAUUGGAUGGAAACCAAUCGACGAGUGCAAUUGCAGAAGCGUGCUUGACUGUGAGACAGACAAGUCGAACAGGGACGAAAGUCGGGAAUAGUGAUCCGGCGGUGCCGAAUGGAAGGGCCGUCGCUCAACGGAUAAAAGCUACCCUGGGGAUAACAGGCUGAUCUCGCCCAAGAGUUCACAUCGACGGCGAGGUUUGGCACCUCGAUGUCGGCUCAUCGCAUCCUGGAGCUGGAUUCGGUUCCAAGGGUUGGGCUGUCCGCCCAUUAAAGCGGUACGCGAGCUGGGUUCAGAACGUCGUGAGACAGUUCGGUCCCUAUCUGUUGUGGGCGAAGGAGAUCUGCGGAGAGCUGUCCUCAGUACGAGAGGACCGGGAUGGACCUACCGCUGGUGCACCGGUUGUUCCGCCAGGGGCAUAGCCGGGUAGCUAAGUAGGGAAAGGAUAAGCGCUGAAAGCAUCUAAGCACGAAGCCUACUCCAAGAUGAGAUCUCCCAUUCG